GAUGAAGAACGCAUCGAAAUGCGAUAAGUAAUGUGAAUUGCAGAAUUCAGUGAAUCAUCGAAUCUUUGAACGCACAUUGCGCCCGUCAGUAUUCUGGUGGGCAUGCCUGUUCGAGCGUCAUUACGCCCCUCAAGUCCCCUGUGGACUUGGUGUUGGGGAUCGGCGAGGCUGGUUUUCCAGCACAGCCGUCCCUUAAAUUAAUUGGCGGUCUCGCCGUGGCCCUCCUCUGCGCAGUAGUAAAACACUCGCAACAGGAGCCCGGCGCGGUCCACUGCCGUAAAACCCCCCAACUUUUUAUAGUUGACCUCGAAUCAGGUAGGACUACCCGCUGAACUUAAGCAUAUCAAUAAGCGGAGGA
RNAcentral lists this unclassified non-coding RNA (358 nucleotides) under soil metagenome. Its description in RNAcentral is "partial contains 5.8S ribosomal RNA, internal transcribed spacer 2, and large subunit ribosomal RNA". The stretch from base 1 to 120 matches the Rfam family "5.8S ribosomal RNA", at positions 35 to 154 of the family's 154-position model. The record is from RNAcentral.